RNAcentral lists this ribosomal RNA (393 nucleotides) under uncultured bacterium. RNAcentral's name for it is "partial 16S ribosomal RNA". It matches the Rfam family "Bacterial small subunit ribosomal RNA", at positions 523 to 918 of the family's 1533-position model. The record is from RNAcentral.
AUACGGAGGAUGCAAGCGUUAUCCGGAUUUAUUGGGUUUAAAGGGUGCGUAGGCGGUUUGCUAAGCGGGAGGUGAAAUGCCGGCGCUCAACGUCGGAAGUGCCUCCCGAACUGGUGGACUGGAAUGACUCUGCCGUGGGAGGAAUGUGUAGUGUAGCGGUGAAAUGCUUAGAGAUUACACAGAACACCGAUUGCGAAGGCAUCUCACGAAGGGUUGAUUGACGCUGAGGCACGAAAGCGUGGGGAUCAAACAGGAUUAGAUACCCUGGUAGUCCACGCAGUAAACGAUGAUGGCUAACCGCUGGAUCUAUCGGCUCAGUGGCCAAGCGAAAGCGAUAAGCCAUCCACCUGGGGAGUACGACCGCAAGGUUGAAACUCAAAUGAAUUGACGGGG